Molecule: ribosomal RNA, 548 nt
Filed under: uncultured bacterium
Lineage: Bacteria
Description: bacterial SSU rRNA
Rfam family: Bacterial small subunit ribosomal RNA
Source: RNAcentral
UAGGGAAUCUUCCGCAAUGGGCGAAAGCCUGACGGAGCAACGCCGCGUGAGUGAAGAAGGAUUUUGGUUCGUAAAGCUCUGUUGUUAGGGAAGAAUGAUUGUGUAGUAACUAUACACAGUAGAGACGGUACCUAACCAGAAAGCCACGGCUAACUACGUGCCAGCAGCCGCGGUAAUACGUAGGUGGCAAGCGUUGUCCGGAAUUAUUGGGCGUAAAGCGCGCGCAGGUGGUUUAAUAAGUCUGAUGUGAAAGCCCACGGCUCAACCGUGGAGGGUCAUUGGAAACUGUUAAACUUGAGUGCAGGAGAGAAAAGUGGAAUUCCUAGUGUAGCGGUGAAAUGCGUAGAGAUUAGGAGGAACACCAGUGGCGAAGGCGGCUUUUUGGCCUGUAACUGACACUGAGGCGCGAAAGCGUGGGGAGCAAACAGGAUUAGAUACCCUGGUAGUCCACGCCGUAAACGAUGAGUGCUAAGUGUUGGUCUCAUAAGAGAUCAGUGCUGCAGCUAACGCAUUAAGCACUCCGCCUGGGGAGUACGACCGCAAGGUUG